UUGUUUAAUGUAAAAGAGGCACUGCGAAGGAUUAUAAGUUCACUAGGUCACAAUUACUCACUAUCAUCGAAAAAUGAGACAGAUAGCAAAAGUUAUGAAUGUAGAACAUAAGUUGACUUGAUAAUUUAGAACAAAAUUAGUCACAUCUUCCAAAUCAAUGGUAAUCUGUUAAUAUUGAAAACAAUGUAAACUUUUACAACCAUUUGGACCUAGACUGUUUUCCAUAUCACUCUCUUUCAUUUGGUGACAAACACAUUUAUUUGUUUAGGAGGUAGAAUCUACCCCAACUGAAAAAUAUAUAUCCAACUUUAGUCAAAAUUCAUUAAAAUGUCUUUCUAAUAAAGCUUUUAUUAUUUUUCCUUUUUUGUUGUCAAGGAUAAUUGUUGAAUACAAAAAGAU
RNAcentral lists this long non-coding RNA (399 nucleotides) under Mytilus galloprovincialis (Mediterranean mussel). The record is from RNAcentral. Lineage: Eukaryota; Metazoa; Mollusca; Bivalvia; Mytilida; Mytilidae.